GUGGGGGAUAUUGCACAAUGGGGGAAACCCUGAUGCAGCAACGCCGCGUGAAGGAAGAAGGUCUUCGGAUUGUAAACUUUUGUCUUGCGGGACGAAUAAUGACGGUACCGCAGGAGGAAGCCACGGCUAACUACGUGCCAGCAGCCGCGGUAAUACGUAGGUGGCGAGCGUUGUCCGGAAUUACUGGGUGUAAAGGGUGCGUAGGCGGAUUUGCAAGUCAGGUGUGAAAACUAUCGGCUUAACCGGUAGCCUGCACUUGAAACUGUAAGUCUUGAGUGGUGAAGAGGUAAGCGGAAUUCCUAGUGUAGCGGUGAAAUGCGUAGAUAUUAGGAGGAACACCAGUGGCGAAGGCGGCUUACUGGGCACUAACUGACGCUGAGGCACGAAAGCAUGGGGAGCAAACAGGAUUAGAUACCCGGGUAGUCC
Molecule: ribosomal RNA, 426 nt
Filed under: uncultured bacterium
Lineage: Bacteria
Description: partial 16S ribosomal RNA
Rfam family: Bacterial small subunit ribosomal RNA
Source: RNAcentral